AUACGGAGGAUGCGAGCGUUAUCCGGAUUUAUUGGGUUUAAAGGGAGCGUAGGCGGGAGCUUAAGUCAGCGGUUAAAUGGUGCGGCUCAACCGUGCCCUGCCGUUGAAACUGGGGUUCUUGAGAGUGCAAGAGGCGGAUGGAAUUCAUGGUGGUCCGGGGAAAUGCUUAGAUAUCCUGAAGAAAUCCGAUUGCGAAGGCAGUCCGCUGGGGCACGUCUGACGCUGAUGCUCGAAGGUGCGGGAAUCAAACAGGAUUAGAUACCCUGGUAGUCCGCACGGUAAACGAUGAUUACCCGCUGUCGGCGGUAGACAGUCGGCGGCCAAGCGAAAGCGAUAAGUAAUCCACCUGGGGAGUACGCCGGCAACGGUGAAACUCAAAUGAAUUGGCGGGG
This 392-nucleotide ribosomal RNA is filed under the name uncultured bacterium. Its description in RNAcentral is "partial 16S ribosomal RNA". It matches the Rfam family "Bacterial small subunit ribosomal RNA", at positions 523 to 918 of the family's 1533-position model. The record is from RNAcentral.